Molecule: ribosomal RNA, 495 nt
Filed under: uncultured bacterium
Lineage: Bacteria
Description: partial 16S ribosomal RNA
Rfam family: Bacterial small subunit ribosomal RNA
Source: RNAcentral
GACGAACGCUGGCGGCGUGCCUAAUACAUGCAAGUAGAACGCUGAAGGAGGAGCUUGCUUCUCCGGAUGAGUGGCGAACGGGUGAGUAACGCGUAGGUAACCUGCCUGGUAGCGGGGGAUAACUAUUGGAAACGAUAGCUAAUACCGCAUAACAGUAGAUGUUGCAUGACAUUUGCUUAAAAGUUGCAAUUGCAUCACUACCAGAUGGACCUGCGUUGUAUUAGCUAGUUGGUGAGGUAACGGCUCACCAAGGCGACGAUACAUAGCCGCCCUGAGAGGGGGAUCGGCCACACUGGGACUGAGACACGGCCCAGACGCCUACGGGAGGGAGCAGUAGGGAAUCUUCGGCAAUGGACGGAAGUCUGACCGAGCAACGCCGCGUGAGUGAAGAAGGUUGUCGGAUCGGAGAGCUCGGUUGUAAGGGAAGAACGAGUGUGAGAGUGGAAAGUUCACACUGUGACGGUAUCUUACCAGAAAGGGACGGCUAACUACGUG